This is a non-coding RNA of Mycena latifolia, 97 nucleotides long. The record is from the annotation of a GenBank genome assembly. NCBI's taxonomy places the organism in Eukaryota, Fungi, Basidiomycota, Agaricomycetes, Agaricales, Mycenaceae.
GGCACUGUGGUGUACGGAACACACGCCGUGAUUGUAGCUGUGUACUCAUCCAUAUGUAUAUAUCCGGUGAGACGGGGUUCGACUCCCCGCGGUGCCU